RNAcentral lists this small nucleolar RNA (107 nucleotides) under Echinops telfairi (small Madagascar hedgehog). RNAcentral's name for it is "Small nucleolar RNA SNORA61 (ENSETEG00000025207.1)". Lineage: Eukaryota; Metazoa; Chordata; Mammalia; Afrosoricida; Tenrecidae. The record is from RNAcentral.
ACACCCCAGAUUCCUGUCCCCUCUGAUCUAAGCAGCGGUCUAAGUGGAUACCUGAAGGAGGGAAAGUAGAACUGAAGCGGACGUGGAUGCUUCAGUUAUAAACAAGC